GACGAACGCUGGCGGCGUGCUUAACACAUGCAAGUCGAACGGAAAGGCCCUGCUUUUGUGGGGUGCUCGAGUGGCGAACGGGUGAGUAACACGUGAGUAACCUGCCCUUGACUUUGGGAUAACUUCAGGAAACUGGGGCUAAUACCGGAUCGGAGCUCCUGCUGCAUGGUGGGGGUUGGAAAGUUUCGGCGGUUGGGGAUGGACUCGCGGCUUAUCAGCUUGUUGGUGGGGUAGUGGCUUACCAAGGCUUUGACGGGUAGCCGGCCUGAGAGGGUGACCGGCCACAUUGGGACUGAGAUACGGCCCAGACUCCUACGGGAGGUAGCAGUGGGGAAUAUUGCACAAUGGGCGGAAGCCUGAUGCAGCAACGCCGCGGGCGGGAUGACGGCCUUCGGGUUGUAAACCGCUUUCGCCUGUGACGAAGCGUGAGUGACGGUAAUGGGUAAAGAAGCACCGGCUAACUACGUG
This 468-nucleotide ribosomal RNA is filed under the name uncultured bacterium. RNAcentral's name for it is "partial 16S ribosomal RNA". It matches the Rfam family "Bacterial small subunit ribosomal RNA", at positions 28 to 507 of the family's 1533-position model. The record is from RNAcentral.